This 466-nucleotide ribosomal RNA is filed under the name uncultured bacterium. Its description in RNAcentral is "partial 16S ribosomal RNA". It matches the Rfam family "Bacterial small subunit ribosomal RNA", at positions 28 to 505 of the family's 1533-position model. The record is from RNAcentral.
GACGAACGCUGGCGGCGUGCUUAACACAUGCAAGUCGAACGGAAAGGCCCUGCUUUUGUGGGGUGCUCGAGUGGCGAACGGGUGAGUAACACGUGAGUAACCUGCCCUUGACUUUGGGAUAACUUCAGGAAACUGGGGCUAAUACCGGAUAGGAGCUCCUGCUGCAUGGUGGGGGUUGGAAAGUUUCGGCGGUUGGGGAUGGACUCGCGGCUUAUCAGCUUGUUGGUGGGGUAGUGGCUUACCAAGGCUUUGACGGGUAGCCGGCCUGAGGGGGUGACCGGCCACAUUGGGACUGAGAUACGGCCCAGACUCCUACGGGAGGAAGCAGUGGGGAAUAUUGCACAAUGGGCGGAAGCCUGAUGCAGCAACGCCGCGUGCGGGAUGACGGCCUUCGGGUUGUAAACCGCUUUCGCCUGUGACGAAGCGUGAGUGACGGUAAUGGGUAAAGAAGCACCGGCUAACUACG